GUAGACGUGAGGACCGAGAACAAAAGUAGGAGCAAGAGGUUUAAAGUGCAUCUACAUUGCCUUUUAUGGAACUAAUACCUAUGAAACCAAAGUGAGUCGUUACACUUAAUUGCCAACAGACCCCACCUCGUGUGAAACAAUCUGCAAUGCUAGGCAAUGUGAUAUUAUUGAUUACUGGCAUGCUGGUGAUCAGUGACAGCCUGCUGAGAAUGAUGUAAGAGAUGGCUCAGCCUGCCCAGAAUCUAUGGGAAAGGUGCAAGACCUUUCACGCAUCAGUACAAAACUUCUUUAUUUUAUUAAAAUACAAAAAUUAGCUUCUUGUUAAGAUCAUGCCCUCAUCCUUUAAAUUAUUAAAGGUUUACAUUUGGCAGGAUUAAUGUGUUUGGUAGUAAAAUAUUUUUAUAUAUCAAUUUUUGAGCACUACUGGAAAACAUCAGCAAAAUUGAAUUGCAUGGUCAUUCAGUGCAACCAUAAAAUUUUUAUUCACUUUGUACUAGAAUGGACAAAGAACACGAAGGUUUAUAUGUUAAAGUAACAAAAUGAUACAGGGUAAAUUAUAUACACAUAUGUAUGAAUGUAUAUAUCUAUAUAUUUAGAUUAAGGAGAAAGUCAUUGACAUUCCUGUAAUAUAAAGGUACAGGGUGAGGUAACCAUGACCUUUUUCCUCUGUACAUAGUUAAGCUCAAGUAUGGAGUUUUAAUCUGUACAGAAAGAAUUGUAUUAUGGUCUUUUGCUGCUGAGAAAAUAGGACAAUAGCUGAUACUUUUCACUGUAUGACCAGGGAAGAAUUAGAGUAUUUCUUUUGUCUUUGCUCAAAGCCAUACAUAUAUAAAUAUAUAUUAAGAUUAUUAAUAAAUCCAAAAGAAAAUAAACCAAAUUAUGAAUAUUUUAUUUUGUUGUUGAACUCUAAUCAAAUGUUUAACUCACUGAGGAGUACAGAUUUGCCUGUCUUUCCAAUCUUUGUAUAAUCUCCAAACAGAUCUGUUCUUGAAAAUCACCGUACAAUUAUUAUAUUCUACAAGUUUAGAAUGAACAUAAUUUAAAUAGAAUAUAGAUUUCCAAGUC
RNAcentral lists this long non-coding RNA (1065 nucleotides) under Rattus norvegicus (Norway rat). RNAcentral's name for it is "long non-coding RNA NONRATT015028". Lineage: Eukaryota; Metazoa; Chordata; Mammalia; Rodentia; Muridae. The record is from RNAcentral.